UACAGAGGAUGCAAGUGUUAUUCGGAAUUAUUGGGCGUAAAGCGUCUGUAGGUGGGCAAUUAAGUCUUUUGUUAAAUCUUUGGGCUUAACCGAAAGUGUGCAAAAGAAACUGCUUGCCUAGAGUCUGUUAGAGGUAAAGGGAAUUUCCAGUGGAGCGGUGAAAUGCGUAGAUAUUGGAAGGAACACCAACGGCGAAAGCACUUUACUGGGCCAGUACUGACACUGAGAGACGAAAGCUAGGGGAGCAAACAGG
Molecule: ribosomal RNA, 253 nt
Filed under: uncultured bacterium
Lineage: Bacteria
Description: partial 16S ribosomal RNA
Rfam family: Bacterial small subunit ribosomal RNA
Source: RNAcentral